Molecule: unclassified non-coding RNA, 479 nt
Filed under: Pectocarya setosa
Lineage: Eukaryota; Viridiplantae; Streptophyta; Magnoliopsida; Boraginales; Boraginaceae
Description: partial external transcribed spacer
Source: RNAcentral
GUCUUUUGUUGAUUAGGGGGACGAGGAUGCUAUACGUGUAGGCGCAUGAGUGGUGCUUUGGUUGUGUAGGUUGGUUGGAUCCUUGCUCUGGCAACGACGUCCAUCCUGCACAAGCAUCUUCAGUCUCGUCUCGUGAUACCUAUUAUCUCGAGUCUUGUGUUGGUUUCUUGUGUUGGGUACCUUACUUGAUGGCAAUCGGUAGCCUAAAUAUUCAAUUUCGCCUUUCAUCGUCCCUUUUGGGGGGUGAUGCAAGGUGAACCAUGAAGUAAUCUUUGUGUCCCACCCUGCUGACAUUUAAUUGUGUUGGUGGUUUGGUGCAUGGGGAAUUUGCUUGAGCUUUUGGAUGCGGUAAAUUAUACACGGGCAUGAGGUCUCACGUCCUCUUUCUGCCCGAACAAAAGCUUUCAUCGCUUAGUUGCGAACGAUAGCGAUCCCCGUCUCGAGCCUUUUGGCAAGUGCGGUGAUCGCUUCGUGAGGAA